This 253-nucleotide ribosomal RNA is filed under the name uncultured bacterium. Its description in RNAcentral is "partial 16S ribosomal RNA". It matches the Rfam family "Bacterial small subunit ribosomal RNA", at positions 524 to 776 of the family's 1533-position model. The record is from RNAcentral.
UACGGGGGGGGCAAGCGUUGUUCGGAAUUACUGGGCGUAAAGCGUGCGCAGGCGGUUGUGCAAGACAGAUGUGAAAUCCCCGGGCUUAACCUGGGAAUUGCAUUUGUGACUGUACGGCUAGAGUGUGUCAGAGGGGGGUAGAAUUCCACGUGUAGCAGUGAAAUGCGUAGAGAUGUGGAGGAAUACCGAUGGCGAAGGCAGCCCCCUGGGAUAACACUGACGCUCAUGCACGAAAGCGUGGGGAGCAAACAGG